This 324-nucleotide ribosomal RNA is filed under the name Triticum aestivum (bread wheat). RNAcentral's name for it is "partial small subunit ribosomal RNA". The record is from RNAcentral. Lineage: Eukaryota; Viridiplantae; Streptophyta; Magnoliopsida; Poales; Poaceae.
AUGCUAAAUGGGUUGAAUUCAUUGAGAAUUUCCCUUAUGUCAUUAAACACAACAAGGGUAAAGACAAUGUUAUUGCUGAUGCAUUGUCUCGUCGUUAUACUAUGCUUUCACAACUUGACUUUAAAAUAUUUGGUUUCGAGGCCAUCAAAGAUCAAUAUGUGCAUGAUGCUAAAUUUAAAGAUGUAUUGCAGAAUUGUAAGAAAGGGAGAACUUGGAACAAGUUUGUUGUUAACGAUGGAUUUGUGUUUCGUGCUAACAAGCUAUGCAUUCCAGCUAGCUCUGUUCGUCUUUUGUUGUUGCAGGAGGCGCAUGGAGGAGGAUUAA